AUUGAACGCUGGCGGCAUGCCUUACACAUGCAAGUCGAACGGCAGCACGGGAGCAAUCCUGGUGGCGAGUGGCGAACGGGUGAGUAAUAUAUCGGAACGUGCCCAGUCGUGGGGGAUAACGUAGCGAAAGCUACGCUAAUACCGCAUACGAUCUAUGGAUGAAAGCGGGGGAUCGCAAGACCUCGCGCGGUUGGAGCGGCCGAUAUCAGAUUAGGUAGUUGGUGAGGUAAAGGCUCACCAAGCCGACGAUCUGUAGCUGGUCUGAGAGGACGACCAGCCACACUGGGACUGAGACACGGCCCAGACUCCUACGGGAGGCAGCAGUGGGGAAUUUUGGACAAUGGGCGCAAGCCUGAUCCAGCAAUGCCGCGUGCAGGAUGAA
This 382-nucleotide ribosomal RNA is filed under the name uncultured bacterium. RNAcentral describes it as "bacterial SSU rRNA". It matches the Rfam family "Bacterial small subunit ribosomal RNA", at positions 30 to 412 of the family's 1533-position model. The record is from RNAcentral.